AGGUAGUUGGUGGGGUAAUGGCUCACCAAGCCUAUGACGGAUAGUUGGUCUGAGAGGACGACCAGCCACAAUGGAACUGAGACACGGUCCAUACUCCUACGGGAGGCAGCAGUGAGGAAUCUUCCGCAAUGGGCGAAAGCCUGACGGAGCGACACCGCGUGGAGGAUGACGCGUUUACUCGUGUAAACUCCUUUUCUGUGGGAAGAUAAUGACGGUACCACAGGAAUAAGGGGCGGCAAACUACGUGCCAGCAGCCGCGGUAAUACGUAGGCCCCAAGCGUUAUCCGGAAUUACUGGGUGUAAAGCGUCUGUAGGUGGGGAUGCAAGUCUCUCAUGAAAGACCGGAGCUCAACUCCGUGUUUGUGAGAGAUACUACAUUUCUAGAAUCGGGGAGAGGGAAGCAGAAUUGUAUGAGUAGGGGUGCAAUCCGUUGAUACAUACAAGAAUACCAAAAGCGAAGGCAGCUUCCUGGAACCGUAUUGACACUGAGAGACGAAAGCGUGGGGAGCGAAAAGGAUUAGAUACCCUUGUAGUCCACGCCCUAAACGAUGGGUACUGAGUGUUGGGACUUGUUCCCAGUGCUUCAAGCUAACGCAUUAAGUACCCCACCUGAGGAGUACGGCCGCAAGGUUAAAACUCAAAUGAAUAGACGGGGACCCACACAAGCAGUGGAUCAUGUGGUUUAAUUCGACAAUAAACGGGGAACCUUACCUAGGCUUGACAUCCUACGAAUCCGGCGGAAACGUUGGAGUGCUCGCAAGAGAAUGUAGAGACAGGCGCUGCAUGGUUGUCGUCAGCUCGUGCCUUGAGGUGUUCGGUUAAGUCCGUUAACGAGCGCAACCCACGUCAUUAGUUACUAUGUCUAAUGAGACUGCCUGAGUUAAUCAGGAGGAAGGUGUGGAUGACGUCAAAUCAGCAUGGCCCUUAUGCCUAGGGAUACACACAUGAUACAAUGGUCGGUACAAAGGGUUGCAACACCGCGAGGUGAAGCUAAUCCCAUAAAGCCGAUCUCAGUCCAGAUUGGAGGCUGCAACUCGCCUCCAUGAAGUUGGAAUUGCUAGUAAUCGUGAAUCAGACAUGUCACGGUGAAUAUGUUCCUGGGUCUUGUACUCACCGCCCGUCAUGGCAUGGAAGGUGGUUCUGCUGGAAGCCCCCGAAGCAAUAUUGGGGUCCAUAGUAAAAUCACUAACUGGGCUAAAGUCGGAACAAGGUAUCCGUACGAGAACGUGCGGAUG
RNAcentral lists this ribosomal RNA (1235 nucleotides) under metagenome. Its description in RNAcentral is "bacterial SSU rRNA". It matches the Rfam family "Bacterial small subunit ribosomal RNA", at positions 243 to 1520 of the family's 1533-position model. The record is from RNAcentral.